RNAcentral lists this ribosomal RNA (428 nucleotides) under Leucauge celebesiana. Its description in RNAcentral is "partial 16S ribosomal RNA". The stretch from base 183 to 428 matches the Rfam family "Bacterial large subunit ribosomal RNA", at positions 2079 to 2597 of the family's 2925-position model. The record is from RNAcentral. Lineage: Eukaryota; Metazoa; Arthropoda; Arachnida; Araneae; Tetragnathidae.
GUUCUUUUAGGUUUUUCUGCUCAUGUAAAAAUAAAUAGCCGCAGAAUUUAACUGUGCUAAGGUAGCAUAAUCAUUAGUUUUUUAAUUAAAAACUAGAAUGAAAGAAUUAACAAUUUAACAACUUUUUUAAUUUAAAUUAUAUAAAUUUUACUAAAUAUAAAAAUAUAUUUAUAAAUAAGAAAGACGACAAGACCCUAUCAAACUUCACUUUAGUUUAGCUGGGGCAGCUAAUUAAAAAUGAUUUUAAUUUUAAUACUUUUAUAAAAGAUCCAAUAUAAUUGAUUUAGUGAACAAGUUACUGUAGGGAUAACAGCGUUAUAUUUUUUUGAAGUUCUUAUUUUUAAAAAAGAUUGCGACCUCGAUGUUGAAUUAUUUAACUUUGAAACGCAAAAUUUUCAUAAGUAGGCCUGUUCGGCCUUUAAAUUUUU